UAGAGUUUGAUCCUGGCUCAGGAUGAACGCUAGCGACAGGCUUAACACAUGCAAGUCGAGGGGCAGCGGGGAGGUAGCAAUACUUCCGCCGGCGACCGGCGCACGGGUGAGUAACACGUAUGGAACCUGCCCGUAGCAGGGGGAUAAGCGGAAGAAAUUCCGUCUAAUACCGCGUAAUAACUCCGAGAGGCAUCUCAUGGAGUUUAAAGGGUAAUACCGGCUACGGAUGGCCAUGCGGCGCAUUAGCUAGUUGGCGGGGUAACGGCCCACCAAGGCGACGAUGCGUAGGGGUUCUGAGAGGAAGGUCCCCCACACUGGUACUGAGACACGGACCAGACUCCUACGGGAGGCAGCAGUGAGGAAUAUUGGUCAAUGGGCGCGAGCCUGAACCAGCCAAGUCGCGUGAGGGAAGACGGUCCUAUGGAUUGUAAACCUCUUUUGUCGGGGAGCAAAAGACGCCACGUGUGGCGUUCCGAGAGUACCCGAAGAAAAAGCAUCGGCUAACUCCGUGCCAGCAGCCGCGGUAAUACGGAGGAUGCGAGCGUUAUCCGGAUUUAUUGGGUUUAAAGGGUGCGCAGGCGGAAGAUCAAGUCAGCGGUAAAAUUGAGAGGCUCAACCUCUUCGAGCCGUUGAAACUGGUUUUCUUGAGUGAGCGAGAAGUAUGCGGAAUGCGUGGUGUAGCGGUGAAAUGCAUAGAUAUCACGCAGAACUCCGAUUGCGAAGGCAGCAUACCGGCGCUCAACUGACGCUCAUGCACGAAAGUGUGGGUAUCGAACAGGAUUAGAUACCCUGGUAGUCCACACAGUAAACGAUGAAUACUAAUUGUUCGGGGAGAAUGAUCCCUGAGUGAUACAGCGAAAGCGUUAAGUAUUCCACCUGGGGAGUACGCCGGCAACGGUGAAA
This 903-nucleotide ribosomal RNA is filed under the name uncultured bacterium. RNAcentral's name for it is "bacterial SSU rRNA". It matches the Rfam family "Bacterial small subunit ribosomal RNA", at positions 1 to 899 of the family's 1533-position model. The record is from RNAcentral.